CCUACGGGAGGCAGCAGUGAGGAAUAUUGGUCAAUGGGCGGAAGCCUGAACCAGCCAAGUAGCGUGCAGGAUGACGGCCCUACGGGUUGUAAACUGCUUUUAUACGGGAAUAACACCCUCCACUUGUGGAGGUCUGCAGGUACCGUGCGAAUAAGGGCCGGCUAAUUCCGUGCCAGCAGCCGCGGUAAUACGGAAGGCCCGAGCGUUAUCCGGAUUCAUUGGGCUUAAAGGGAGCGUAGGCGGGCGUUCAAGUCAGCUGUAAAAUCGCGCGGCUCAACCGCGCCCCGCAGUUGAAACUGGACGCCUUGAGUUCACAACAGGCAGGCGGAAUUCGUGGUGUAGCGGUGAAAUGCAUAGAUAUAUGGAAGAACACCAGUGGCGAAGGCGGCUCUCUGGUCUGCAACUGACGCUGAGGCUCGAAAGCAUGGGUAGCGAACAGGAUUAGAUACCCGUGUAGUC
Molecule: ribosomal RNA, 459 nt
Filed under: uncultured bacterium
Lineage: Bacteria
Description: partial 16S ribosomal RNA
Rfam family: Bacterial small subunit ribosomal RNA
Source: RNAcentral